AGAGUAAUAGUAAUAAUUUAUAACAUCUAGUUUGCAACUAGAAGGAGCUGAUUAAACAGCUUACUUUA
Molecule: transfer RNA, 68 nt
Filed under: Sminthurides bifidus
Lineage: Eukaryota; Metazoa; Arthropoda; Collembola; Symphypleona; Sminthurididae
Description: tRNA-Ala
Source: RNAcentral